GACGAACGCUGGCGGCGUGCUUAACACAUGCAAGUCGAACGGAAAGGCCCCCACUUUUUUGGUGGGGGUGCUCGAGUGGCGAACGGGUGAGUAACACGUGGGUGAUCUGCCCUGUACUUCGGGAUAAGCUUGGGAAACUGGGUCUAAUACCGGAUAGGACCAUGGUUUAGUGUCUCAUGGUGGAAAAAUUAUUGUUUUGGUGCAGGAUGAGCUCGCGGCCUAUCAGCUUGUUGGUGGGGUAACGGCCUACCAAGGCGUCGACGGGUAGCCGGCCUGAGAGGGUGGACGGCCACAUUGGGACUGAGAUACGGCCCAGACUCCUACGGGAGGCAGCAGUGGGGAAUAUUGCACAAUGGGCGCAAGCCUGAUGCAGCGACGCCGCGUGGGGGAUGACGGCCUUCGGGUUGUAAACUCCUUUCGUUAGGGACGAAGCCGCACCUUUUUUGGGUGUGGUGACGGUACCUUUGUUAAGAAGCACCGGCUAACUACGUG
This 492-nucleotide ribosomal RNA is filed under the name uncultured bacterium. Its description in RNAcentral is "partial 16S ribosomal RNA". It matches the Rfam family "Bacterial small subunit ribosomal RNA", at positions 28 to 507 of the family's 1533-position model. The record is from RNAcentral.